This 857-nucleotide long non-coding RNA is filed under the name Sinocyclocheilus anshuiensis. RNAcentral's name for it is "lncRNA (ENSSANG00000052280.1)". Lineage: Eukaryota; Metazoa; Chordata; Actinopteri; Cypriniformes; Cyprinidae. The record is from RNAcentral.
AUUUCUGGACCUUUUAAGUAAAAAGCUCAUUUUAGGUCCUACGUUGGUCCAUGUUUUAUUCAAACAAAUUAUAGACGAGAGAUAGACUUUCUUGAAUGACAGGAAGAACAUGAUUCACAGUGUCGACUAGAGAGGUAGAUCCAGUUGCUUUGCAAUAAGUGUGAAUAUUGCUGAGAUAUGGGGGCUAAAAGUAGGUUAGCAAACUGUUGAUGUCUUUUUAUCUUCUCUUUCUACAGUUGGUGCAUAAUCAUCAUCAUCUCUGUGUUUCUGCUGUAUAUCACAGGUGCUUUCUCUGCUCCUGUGAGGGUCACAGUUAAAGGUUUUGUUGGAGACUCUGCGAUCUUGUCUUGUUCGAUCACUGAAAGUGAGAUUCAAGACAAAAUAGAAGAAUUCAACGUACACUUCAGAGACGAUGAAGGCAAGAAAGUGUGUGACAUCAUUGGAGGUAGCAUAGCUGAAGACCAAGAGCCAAAGUACAAGGACAGAGUCGAAACGUUCCCAGAGGAGUAUAAGAAGGGCAACUUCUCCAUCAAACUCAGCAGUCUUCAGCAAACUGAUGCAAGGAAGUACCGCUGUAGCAUCACAAGGGACAUUACAUCACACGACACAUUUCAGAAAGAGGUCAUCACAGAGCUUCAUGUCAAAGAUAAACCAGAAGGAAAAGGAAACCAUGGAGAACCAUCAUUGAUUGUGUUGUUGAUCAGUUUUCUUUUCACUCACAUUCUGCCGUUUAUCUGAACAAUUAUUUGUUUAGUUUUUUAAGUGUUGCAGGGUUGAGUUUAGAUCUGCUCAAUCAGCCAAAGUACAUUUUCAAGUAUCUUUACAUUAAGAAUUGUCAUUGUGGGUAAAUUUUACGA